AGUGAACGCUGGCGGUAGGCCUAACACAUGCAAGUCGAACGGCAGCACAGUAAGAGCUUGCUCUUACGGGUGGCGAGUGGCGGACGGGUGAGGAAUACAUCGGAAUCUACUUUUUCGUGGGGGAGAACGUAGGGAAACUUACGCUAAUACCGCAUACGACCUACGGGUGAAAGCAGGGGAUCUUCGGACCUUGCGCGAUUGAAUGAGCCGAUGUCGGAUUAGCUAGUUGGCGGGGUAAAGGCCCACCAAGGCGACGAUCCGUAGCUGGUCUGAGAGGAUGAUCAGCCACACUGGACCUGAGGCACGGUCCAGACUCCUACGGGAGGCAGCAGUGGGGACUAUUGGACAAUGGGCGCAAGCCUGAUCCAGCCAUACCGCGUGGGUGAAGAAGGCCUUCGGGUUGUAAAGCCCUUUUGUUGGGAAAGAAAAGCAGCAGGUUAAUACCCCGCUGUUCUGACGGUACCCAAAGAAUAAGCACCGGCUAACUUCGUG
This 492-nucleotide ribosomal RNA is filed under the name uncultured bacterium. RNAcentral describes it as "partial 16S ribosomal RNA". It matches the Rfam family "Bacterial small subunit ribosomal RNA", at positions 29 to 507 of the family's 1533-position model. The record is from RNAcentral.